Plodia interpunctella (Indianmeal moth) is the source of this 537-nucleotide long non-coding RNA. RefSeq lists it as uncharacterized. The transcript has 3 exons. The record is from RefSeq and is a predicted model, not a curated record. Lineage: Eukaryota; Metazoa; Arthropoda; Insecta; Lepidoptera; Pyralidae.
UUGGUGGUAGACAUCAGAUAAACAUAUAAAACCUACGUAAAAUAAAUUUUCUUCAGUAUUUUACGCUGUAUUUUAAGAAAAUGCUGUUGUUCGCAUUUAUUAUUGCACUUGGAGCAGUUUCUGUAAGAUCUGAUGAAUGUUUAACAGUUGCAUCAGGUACAAUACUACCUGGCUCCCGCCUGGUUCCAGUUGCAGAUGUGGUGGUCGGCCCUGGUUACGUUGACUGGAAAAUAACUUAUCCUCUGCCACAGUGUGAUUCGCCAGUCUUGGAGGUUACCGUUUGCGAUGAGGUACUUUCACAAGUGCAGUUUGCAUCAGAUGUCGGUGUAAUCAUUGUGUACUUACAUCGCACAGGAUCUGUGUCCACUUCCGUCGUAGUACACGGCAAGUACUGGUGUUCACCGUACUCCGGCGGGUUAACUAAGUUCCGUGCAGACUCUGCGGUGCAACCACUUGCAACCGCUUUGGCAUGAUCGUCUCAUAACAAUUAAUUUGUAUUUUGACGUUUUGUUAAAAGAUUAAAAUGAUACAUCAUUA